UAGACUGUAAGUGCUAUGGAUAGU
Molecule: non-coding RNA, 24 nt
Filed under: Cricetulus griseus (Chinese hamster)
Lineage: Eukaryota; Metazoa; Chordata; Mammalia; Rodentia; Cricetidae
Source: RNAcentral